Molecule: transfer RNA, 68 nt
Filed under: Friesea propria
Lineage: Eukaryota; Metazoa; Arthropoda; Collembola; Poduromorpha; Neanuridae
Description: tRNA-Asn
Source: RNAcentral
UUAAUCGAACCUAAUAAAUUAGAAUAUUACUGUUAAUGAUAUAUAAGGGGUACAAGCCCCCGAUUAAA